AAGCAAUACUCUGUAAAAGACAAACAGAACUAUCUGAUGUAUUUGAGCUCGCUCUAGCAAAGAAGUCUAACCUAUUCCAGUGUUGUCUUCCCCACAAAACAAGCUAUCAUAGAGGCUUAAAAGCA
Cricetulus griseus (Chinese hamster) is the source of this 125-nucleotide small nucleolar RNA. Ensembl annotates it as small nucleolar RNA SNORA28. Lineage: Eukaryota; Metazoa; Chordata; Mammalia; Rodentia; Cricetidae. The record is from Ensembl.